Molecule: ribosomal RNA, 253 nt
Filed under: uncultured bacterium
Lineage: Bacteria
Description: partial 16S ribosomal RNA
Rfam family: Bacterial small subunit ribosomal RNA
Source: RNAcentral
UACGUAGGGGGCUAGCGUUGUCCGGAAUCAUUGGGCGUAAAGCGCGCGUAGGCGGCCCGGUAAGUCCGCUGUGAAAGUCAAAGGCUCAACCUUUGAAUGUCAGCGGAUACUGCCGGGCUAGAGUCCGGAAGAGGCGAGUGGAACUCCUGGUGUAGCGGUGGAAUGCGCAGAUAUCAGGAAGAACACCAGUGGCGAAGGCGCUCUGCUAGGCCGUAACUGACACUGAGGGACGAAAGCUAGGGGAGCGAAUGGG